AGUGAACGCUGGCGGUAGGCCUAACACAUGCAAGUCGAACGGCAGCACAGUAAGAGCUUGCUCUUACGGGUGGCGAGUGGCGGACGGGUGAGGAAUACAUCGGAAUCUACUUUUUCGUGGGGGAUAACGUAGGGAAACUUACGCUAAUACCGCAUACGACCUACGGGUGAAUGCAGGGGAUCUUCGGACCUUGCGCGAUUGAAUGAGCCGAUGUCGGAUUAGCUAGUUGGCGGGGUAAAGGCCCACCAAGGCGACGAUCCGUAGCUGGUCUGAGAGGAUGAUCAGCCACACUGGAACUGAGACACGGUCCAGACUCCUACGGGAGGCAGCAGUGGGGAAUAUUGGACAAUGGGCGCAAGCCUGAUCCAGCCAUACCGCGUGGGUGAAGAAGGCCUUCGGGUUGUAAAGCCCUGUUGUUGGGAAAGAAAAGCAGCAGGUUAAUACCCCGCUGUUCUGACGGUACCCAAAGAAUAAGCACCGGCUAACUUCGUG
RNAcentral lists this ribosomal RNA (492 nucleotides) under uncultured bacterium. Its description in RNAcentral is "partial 16S ribosomal RNA". It matches the Rfam family "Bacterial small subunit ribosomal RNA", at positions 29 to 507 of the family's 1533-position model. The record is from RNAcentral.